GAUGAACGCUGGCGGCGUGCCUAAUACAUGCAAGUCGAGCGAACAGACGAGGAGCUUGCUCCUCUGACGUUAGCGGCGGACGGGUGAGUAACACGUGGAUAACCUACCUAUAAGACUUGGAUAACUUCGGGAAACCGGAGCUAAUACCGGAUAAUAUAUUGAACCGCAUGGUUCAAUAGUGAAAGACGGUUUUGCUGUCACUUAUAGAUGGAUCCGCGCCGCAUUAGCUAGUUGGUAAGGUAACGGCUUACCAAGGCAACGAUGCGUAGCCGACCUGAGAGGGUGAUCGGCCACACUGGAGCUGAGACACGGUCCAGACUCCUACGGGAGGCAGCAGUAGGGAAUCUUCCGCAAUGGGCGAAAGCCUGACGGAGCAACGCCGCGUGAGUGAUGAAGGUCUUCGGAUCGUAAAACUCUGUUAUUAGGGAAGAACAAAUGUGUAAGUAACUAUGCACGUCUUGACGGUACCUAAUCAGAAAGCCACGGCUAACUACGUG
Molecule: ribosomal RNA, 497 nt
Filed under: uncultured bacterium
Lineage: Bacteria
Description: partial 16S ribosomal RNA
Rfam family: Bacterial small subunit ribosomal RNA
Source: RNAcentral